This 497-nucleotide ribosomal RNA is filed under the name uncultured bacterium. Its description in RNAcentral is "partial 16S ribosomal RNA". It matches the Rfam family "Bacterial small subunit ribosomal RNA", at positions 28 to 507 of the family's 1533-position model. The record is from RNAcentral.
GAUGAACGCUGGCGGCGUGCCUAAUACAUGCAAGUCGAGCGAAUGGACGAGAAGCUCGCUCUUCUGUUGUUAGCGGCGGACGGGUGAGUAAUACGUGGAUAACCUACCUAUAAGACUGGGAUAACUUCGGGAAACCGUAGCUAAUACCGGAUAAUAUUUUGAACCGCAUGGUCCAACAGUGAUAGACGGUCUUGCUGUCACUUAUAGAUGGAUCCGGGUUGCAUUAGCUAGUUGGUAAGGUAACGGCUUACCAAGGCUACGAUGCAUAGCCGACCUGAGAGGAUGAUCAGCCACACUGGAACUGAGACACGGUCCAGACUCCUACGGGAGGCAGCAGUAGGGAAUCUUCCACAAUGGGCGAAAGCCUGACGCAGCAACGCCGCGUGUGUGAAGAAGGUCUUCGGAUCGUAAAGCUCUUUUAGUAGGGAAGAACAUAUGUUGAAUAAACUGCGCACAUCUUGACGUUACCUAAACAAAAAGCCACGGCUAACUACGUG